ACUUCAUGGGCGCAGCCUGAUGCAGCCAUGCCGCGUGUAUGAAGAAGGCCUUCGGGUUGUAAAGUACUUUCAGCGGGGAGGAAGGGAGUAAAGUUAAUACCUUUGCUCAUUGACGUUACCCGCAGAAGAAGCACCGGCUAACUCCGUG
This 148-nucleotide ribosomal RNA is filed under the name uncultured bacterium. RNAcentral's name for it is "partial 16S ribosomal RNA". It matches the Rfam family "Bacterial small subunit ribosomal RNA", at positions 366 to 507 of the family's 1533-position model. The record is from RNAcentral.